RNAcentral lists this unclassified non-coding RNA (425 nucleotides) under soil metagenome. RNAcentral's name for it is "partial contains 5.8S ribosomal RNA, internal transcribed spacer 2, and large subunit ribosomal RNA". The stretch from base 1 to 120 matches the Rfam family "5.8S ribosomal RNA", at positions 35 to 154 of the family's 154-position model. The record is from RNAcentral.
GAUGAAGAACGUAGCGAAAUGCGAUAAGUAGUGUGAAUUGCAGAAUUCCGUGAAUCAUCGAAUCUUUGAACGCACAUUGCGCCUUCUGGUAUUCCGGAAGGCAUGCCUGUUCGAGAGUCAUUAACAACCGUUUCGAUCCCUUUCUUUCAGAAAUUACAAAGAGGAAAAGGGUUUGGUUAUGGUGGAGGAGGGAAAGGGAGCGUUUAGUCUGUAAAAAAAGAGGCUGUGUUCCGCCUCCCCCCCAAAAUUGUACAGGCGGUCGUGUGCGCCCACGCAUCGAGGUGUUGUAAAAGCUGCCACGGCACUUUUCACCUGUGCAGUGCGAGAUUGGCCAGCCGGUUUAAAAACCCCUCCAAACAAUCAAAGGUUGACCUCGGAUCAGGUAGGGAUACCCGCUGAACUUAAGCAUAUCAAUAAGCGGAGGA